RNAcentral lists this ribosomal RNA (303 nucleotides) under uncultured bacterium. RNAcentral's name for it is "partial 16S ribosomal RNA". It matches the Rfam family "Bacterial small subunit ribosomal RNA", at positions 507 to 808 of the family's 1533-position model. The record is from RNAcentral.
AGCAGCCGCCGCGGUAAUACAGAGGGUGCGAGCGUUAAUCGGAUUUACUGGGCGUAAAGCGUGCGUAGGCGGCUUUUUAAGUCGGAUGUGAAAUCCCUGAGCUUAACUUAGGAAUUGCAUUCGAUACUGGGAAGCUAGAGUAUGGGAGAGGAUGGUAGAAUUCCAGGUGUAGCGGUGAAAUGCGUAGAGAUCUGGAGGAAUACCGAUGGCGAAGGCAGCCAUCUGGCCUAAUACUGACGCUGAGGUACGAAAGCAUGGGGAGCAAACAGGAUUAGAUACCCCUGUAGUCCUGUCUCUUAUACC